This 918-nucleotide ribosomal RNA is filed under the name uncultured bacterium. Its description in RNAcentral is "bacterial SSU rRNA". It matches the Rfam family "Bacterial small subunit ribosomal RNA", at positions 1 to 917 of the family's 1533-position model. The record is from RNAcentral. RNAcentral also lists the same sequence under 1 other name.
UGGAUCCAGACUUUGAUUCUGGCUCAGGAUGAACGCUGGCGGCGUGCUUAACACAUGCAAGUCGAACGGAGCACCUGCACGGAGCCCCUCCGGGGGCGAAGCGCAGGCGUCUUAGUGGCGGACGGGUGAGUAACGCGUGGGCAACCUGCCCUAUACAGGGGGAUAACAGCUGGAAACGGCUGUUAAUACCGCAUAAGCGCACAGCGCCGCAUGGCGCGGUGCGGAAAACUACGGUGGUAUAGGAUGGGCCCGCGUCUGAUUAGCUAGUUGGCGGGGUAACGGCCCGCCAAGGCGACGAUCAGUAGCCGGCCUGAGAGGGCGGCCGGCCACAUUGGGACUGAGACACGGCCCAAACUCCUGCGGGAGGCAGCAGUGGGGGAUAUUGCACAAUGGGGGGAACCCUGAUGCAGCGACGCCGCGUGGGCGAGGAAGUACCUCGGUAUGUAAGCCCUAUCGGCAGGGAAGAAAAAGGACGGUACCUGACUAAGAAGCCCCGGCUAACUACGUGCCAGCAGCCGCGGUAAUACGUAGGGGGCAAGCGUUAUCCGGAUUCACUGGGCGUAAAGGGAGCGCAGGCGGCACGGCAAGUCUGGUGUGAAAGCCCGUGGCUCAACCACGGGACUGCAUUGGAAACUGCCGGGCUGGAGUGUCGGAGGGGCAAGUGGAAUUCCUAGUGUAGCGGUGAAAUGCGUAGAUAUUAGGAGGAACACCAGUGGCGAAGGUGGCUUGCUGGACGACGACUGACGCUGAGGCUCGAAAGCGUGGGGAGCAAACAGGAUUAGAUACCCUGGUAGUCCACGCCGUAAACGUUGAAUACUAGGUGUCGGGGGGCAUGGCCCGCCGGUGCCGCAGCAAACGCAUUAAGUAUUCCGCCUGGGGAGUACGUUCGCAAGAAUGCAACUCAAAGGAAUUGACGGA